This 2792-nucleotide ribosomal RNA is filed under the name Serratia marcescens. RNAcentral's name for it is "bacterial LSU rRNA". It matches the Rfam family "Bacterial large subunit ribosomal RNA". Lineage: Bacteria; Pseudomonadati; Pseudomonadota; Gammaproteobacteria; Enterobacterales; Yersiniaceae. The record is from RNAcentral.
UUAAGUGACUAAGCGUACACGGUGGAUGCCUAGGCAGUCAGAGGCGAUGAAGGGCGUGCUAAUCUGCGAAAAGCGUCGGUAAGGUGAUAUGAACCGUUAUAACCGGCGAUACCCGAAUGGGGAAACCCAGUGUGUUUCGACACACUAUCAUGUCAUGAAUACAUAGUGGCAUGAGGCGAACCGGGGGAACUGAAACAUCUAAGUACCCCGAGGAAAAGAAAUCAACCGAGAUUCCCCCAGUAGCGGCGAGCGAACGGGGAGGAGCCCAGAACCUGAAUCGGCUUGUGUGUUAGUGGAAGCGUCUGGAAAGUCGCGCAGCAAAGGGUGAUAGCCCCGUACACUAAAAUGCACAGGUCGUGAGUUCGAUGAGUAGGGCGGGACACGUGACAUCCUGUCUGAAUAUGGGGGGACCAUCCUCCAAGGCUAAAUACUCCUGACUGACCGAUAGUGAACCAGUACCGUGAGGGAAAGGCGAAAAGAACCCCGGCGAGGGGAGUGAAAUAGAACCUGAAACCGUGUACGUACAAGCAGUGGGAGCACCUUCGUGGUGUGACUGCGUACCUUUUGUAUAAUGGGUCAGCGACUUAUAUUUUGUAGCAAGGUUAACCGUAUAGGGGAGCCGUAGGGAAACCGAGUCUUAACUGGGCGAAUAGUUGCAAGGUAUAGACCCGAAACCCGGUGAUCUAGCCAUGGGCAGGUUGAAGGUUGGGUAACACUAACUGGAGGACCGAACCGACUAAUGUUGAAAAAUUAGCGGAUGACUUGUGGCUGGGGGUGAAAGGCCAAUCAAACCGGGAGAUAGCUGGUUCUCCCCGAAAGCUAUUUAGGUAGCGCCUCGUGAACUCAUCUUCGGGGGUAGAGCACUGUUUCGGCUAGGGGGCCAUCCCGGCUUACCAAACCGAUGCAAACUCCGAAUACCGAAGAAUGUUAUCACGGGAGACACACGGCGGGUGCUAACGUCCGUCGUGAAGAGGGAAACAACCCAGACCGCCAGCUAAGGUCCCAAAGUCAUGGUUAAGUGGGAAACGAUGUGGGAAGGCACAGACAGCCAGGAUGUUGGCUUAGAAGCAGCCAUCAUUUAAAGAAAGCGUAAUAGCUCACUGGUCGAGUCGGCCUGCGCGGAAGAUGUAACGGGGCUAAACCAUGCACCGAAGCUGCGGCAGCGACGCUUAGGCGUUGUUGGGUAGGGGAGCGUUCUGUAAGCCGUUGAAGGUGGCCUGUGAGGGUUGCUGGAGGUAUCAGAAGUGCGAAUGCUGACAUAAGUAACGAUAAAGCGGGUGAAAAGCCCGCUCGCCGGAAGACCAAGGGUUCCUGUCCAACGUUAAUCGGGGCAGGGUGAGUCGACCCCUAAGGCGAGGCUGAAAAGCGUAGUCGAUGGGAAACAGGUUAAUAUUCCUGUACUUGGUGUUACUGCGAAGGGGGGACGGAGAAGGCUAGGCUGGCCGGGCGACGGUUGUCCCGGUUUAAGCGUGUAGGGGGUGUGACCUGGUAAAUCCGGUUACAUACUAACCCUGAGGCGUGAUGACGAUGCACUACGGUGCAGAAGUAGUUGAUGCCCUGCUUCCAGGAAAAUCCUCUAAGCUCCAGGUAACAUUAAAUCGUACCCCAAACCGACACAGGUGGUCAGGUAGAGAAUACCAAGGCGCUUGAGAGAACUCGGGUGAAGGAACUAGGCAAAAUGGUGCCGUAACUUCGGGAGAAGGCACGCUGGCAUGUAGGUGAAGUCCCUUGCGGAUGGAGCUGAAGCCAGUCGAAGAUACCAGCUGGCUGCAACUGUUUAAUAAAAACACAGCACUGUGCAAACACGAAAGUGGACGUAUACGGUGUGACGCCUGCCCGGUGCUGGAAGGUUAAUUGAUGGGGUCAGCCGCAAGGCGAAGCUCUUGAUCGAAGCCCCAGUAAACGGCGGCCGUAACUAUAACGGUCCUAAGGUAGCGAAAUUCCUUGUCGGGUAAGUUCCGACCUGCACGAAUGGCGUAAUGAUGGCCAGGCUGUCUCCACCCGAGACUCAGUGAAAUUGAACUCGCUGUGAAGAUGCAGUGUACCCGCGGCAAGACGGAAAGACCCCGUGAACCUUUACUAUAGCUUGACACUGAACAUUGAGCCUUGAUGUGUAGGAUAGGUGGGAGGCUUUGAAGCGUGGACGCCAGUCUGCGUGGAGCCAUCCUUGAAAUACCACCCUUUAAUGUUUGAUGUUCUAACUCGGCCCCAUAAUCUGGGGUGAGGACAGUGUCUGGUGGGUAGUUUGACUGGGGCGGUCUCCUCCCAAAGAGUAACGGAGGAGCACGAAGGUUAGCUAAUCACGGUCGGACAUCGUGAGGUUAGUGCAAAGGCAUAAGCUAGCUUGACUGCGAGAGUGACGGCUCGAGCAGGUACGAAAGUAGGUCUUAGUGAUCCGGUGGUUCUGAAUGGAAGGGCCAUCGCUCAACGGAUAAAAGGUACUCCGGGGAUAACAGGCUGAUACCGCCCAAGAGUUCAUAUCGACGGCGGUGUUUGGCACCUCGAUGUCGGCUCAUCACAUCCUGGGGCUGAAGUAGGUCCCAAGGGUAUGGCUGUUCGCCAUUUAAAGUGGUACGCGAGCUGGGUUUAGAACGUCGUGAGACAGUUCGGUCCCUAUCUGCCGUGGGCGUUGGAAGAUUGAGAGGGGUUGCUCCUAGUACGAGAGGACCGGAGUGAACGCACCACUGGUGUUCGGGUUGUCAUGCCAAUGGCAUUGCCCGGUAGCUAAGUGCGGAAAAGAUAAGCGCUGAAAGCAUCUAAGCGCGAAACUUGCCUCAAGAUGAGUCUUCCCU